Cyprinus carpio (common carp) is the source of this 1454-nucleotide long non-coding RNA. Lineage: Eukaryota; Metazoa; Chordata; Actinopteri; Cypriniformes; Cyprinidae. The record is from Ensembl.
ACCUCAACCAGUCACUCAACUGCAACAACACCUACAAACCAAUCAACAACAACUGAUACACCCUCAACACAAACUGCACCAAUAUCUACCCCUCUAUCAUCAACACCAACUGCACCAGCAUCUUCAUCGACUGCAUCAAAUAUUUUAUCUACAUCUACACAAGCAACAUAAACCAGUCAAUCAACUUCAACAACACCUACAAACCAAUCAACAACAACUGAUACAUCCUCAACACAAACUGCCCCAACAUCUACCCCUCAGUCAACCACAACUGAUACAUCCUCAUCACAAACUGCACCAACGUCGACCCCUCUAUCAUCAACACCAACUGCACCAGCAUCUUCAUCGACUGCAUCAAAUACUCUAUCUACAUCUACACAAGCAACAUAAACCAGUCAAUCAACUUCAACAACAGCUACAAAUCAAUCAACACCAACUGUAACAUCGACAACAAUAGCACCAACAUCUACCGCUCUAUCAUCAACAACUGCACCAGCAUCUUCAUCAACUGCGACUGCAUCAAAUUUUUGAUCUACAUCUACACAAGCAACAUAAACCAGUCAAUCAACUGCAACGACACCUACAAAACAAUCAACAACAACUGAUCCAUCCUCAACACAAACUGCACCAAUAUCUACCCCUCUAUCAUCAACACCAACUGCACCAGCAUCAUCAACAACUCCAUCAACUACCUCAUUAUCUACAUCUACACAACCAACAUCACCCAGUCAAUCAACUGCAACGACACCUACAAAACAAUCAACAACAACUCUAACAUCGACAUCAAUUCCCCCAACAUCCACCACUCAGUCAACAACAACUGAUACACCCUCAACACAAACUGCACCAAUAUCUACCCCUCUAUCAUCAACAACUGCACCAGCAUCAUCAACAACUCCAUCAACUACCACAGUAUCUACGUCUACACAAGCAACAUCAACCAGUCAAUCAACUGCAACAACACCUACAACUCAAACUGCAACAUCAACAUCAGCUGCACCAUCUACUACAAGAACAACAACUGCACCAACUUCGAGAUCAACUGCAUCAACAUUGAUAUCAGCUGCAUUAACAUCUACUCGAACACCGACACCUACUUCUCAAAUAACAACUCAAGUUAUAUCUACAACUCAAACAGCAAGCAAGUCAACAUCUUCAUCUCCAGAUGUUGUCCCACAAAAUAUGACAGCAUUUGCAUACGCAACCUUUACAUUGAGAUCCUCUGUUGAGCUAAGCAAUGAUGAAAUCAUUACUUAUAUUGAAAAGUUUGUCAAGCCCUUUCAAGCAAACAUUAAUGGGACCAUAAAGAUUACUUUGAAGAAAUCAAGAAAAUUGUUGGCCUAAGGAUCUAAUGGAAAACUUCCCUGCAAUAAUAGCAUGUCGAAGCACUGACAAAUUAUAAUCAAAUGCAUUUGUGUAAAAAAAAAUAAAAAUAAAAAAAAAACACUUACUCA